RNAcentral lists this ribosomal RNA (406 nucleotides) under uncultured bacterium. RNAcentral describes it as "partial 16S ribosomal RNA". It matches the Rfam family "Bacterial small subunit ribosomal RNA", at positions 29 to 526 of the family's 1533-position model. The record is from RNAcentral.
AGUGAACGCUGGCGGCGUGCCUAAUACAUGCAAGUCGAACGAGUGGCGCACGGGUGAGUAAUGUCUGGGAAACUGCCUGCUGGUGGGGGAUAACUACUGGAAACGGUAGCUACUACCGCAUACCAUCAGAUGUGCCCAGAUGGGAUUAGCUAGUAGGUGGGGUAAUGGCUCACCUAGGCGACGAUCCCUAGCUGGUCUGAGAGGAUGACCAGCCAAACUGGAACUGAGACACGGCCCAGACUCCUACGGGAGGCAGCAGUGGGGAAUAUUGCAAAAUGGGCGAAAGCCUGAUAAAGAAAUGCCGCGUGUGUGAAGAGGGCCUUCGGGUUGUAAAGCACUUUCAGCGAGGAGGCGGUACUCGAAGAAGAAGCACCGGCUAACUCCGUGCCAGCAGCCGCGGUAAUAC